UUGGUCCUACGGAGCGCAGCAGUGAGGAAUAUUGGUCAAUGGGAGAGAUCCUGAACCAGCCAAGCCGCGUGAGGGAAGACGGCCCUAUGGGUUGUAAACCUCUUUUGUCGGAGAACAAAACCCGGGACGAGUCCCGGACUGCGUGUAUCCGAAGAAAAAGCAUCGGCUAACUCCGUGCCAGCAGCCGCAGUAAUACGGAGGAUGCGAGAGUUAUCCGGAUUUAUUGGGUUUAAAGGGUGCGUAGG
This 245-nucleotide ribosomal RNA is filed under the name uncultured bacterium. RNAcentral describes it as "partial 16S ribosomal RNA". It matches the Rfam family "Bacterial small subunit ribosomal RNA", at positions 333 to 575 of the family's 1533-position model. The record is from RNAcentral.